This 107-nucleotide small nuclear RNA is filed under the name Sus scrofa (pig). The record is from RNAcentral. Lineage: Eukaryota; Metazoa; Chordata; Mammalia; Artiodactyla; Suidae.
AUUUUAAAAAUAAAAAAAUAAAAAAUAAAGUUGGAAUGACACAGAGAAGAGUAGCAUGGCCCCUACACAAGGAUGACAUACAAAUUAAUGAAGUGUUCCAUAUUUUA